CAGUCGCCGCGGUAAUACGUAGGGUGCAAGCGUUAAUCGGAAUUACUGGGCGUAAAGCGUGCGCAGGCGGUUUGUUAAGACAGAUGUGAAAUCCCCGGGCUCAACCUGGGAACUGCAUUUGUGACUGGCAAGCGAGAGUGUGGCAGAGGGGGGUGGAAUUCCGCGUGUAGCAGUGAAAUGCGUAGAUAUGCGGAGGAACACCGAUGGCGAAGGCAGCCCCCUGGGCCAACACUGACGCUCAUGCACGAAAGCGUGGGGAGCAAACAGGAUUAGAUACCCCUGUAGUCCCUGUCUCUUAUAC
This 301-nucleotide ribosomal RNA is filed under the name uncultured bacterium. Its description in RNAcentral is "partial 16S ribosomal RNA". It matches the Rfam family "Bacterial small subunit ribosomal RNA", at positions 509 to 807 of the family's 1533-position model. The record is from RNAcentral.